AUUCAACCACAUUUCCAUUCAGCUUCACCAUUUCUCUAAAUUGAUACAAAAUCGAGGUGAAUCUGAUCGAGUAUGGUGAGUUCAUUUCAGAUUUUUGUCAUUUUUCAGGGUUCAGUUCAGGCAGGGAGACGCACCGGCGAGCAUCGGCGGGAUCCCUUCGCCGCCCACUAUGCCCUGGUCCCAUCCUUUGAUCACCUGAAGAAUUAUCAGUGAAUAUGCAAUAAUCUGUUAGUGUGCUUGAUUGAUUGAUCGUGUUUACCUCGCCGACGCCGACGCGGAAGGUGAGCGGCUUCCCGCGCUUGUAGCUGCUGUCGAACACCGUGCCGUCCUCCAGCCUCCCGGUGUAAUGCGCCU
Molecule: long non-coding RNA, 354 nt
Organism: Oryza sativa Japonica Group (Japanese rice)
Lineage: Eukaryota; Viridiplantae; Streptophyta; Magnoliopsida; Poales; Poaceae
Source: RefSeq, a predicted model, not a curated record